RNAcentral lists this transfer RNA (74 nucleotides) under Candidatus Taenariivivens baikalensis. RNAcentral describes it as "tRNA-Gly". It matches the Rfam family "tRNA". Rfam says of the family: Transfer RNA (tRNA) molecules are approximately 80 nucleotides in length. Their secondary structure includes four short double-helical elements and three loops (D, anti-codon, and T loops). The record is from RNAcentral. Lineage: Bacteria; Pseudomonadati; Candidatus Omnitrophota.
GCGGGUGUAGCUUAAUGGUAAAGUGCUAGCCUUCCAAGCUUGCUAUGAGGGUUCGAUUCCCUCCACCCGCUCCA